UACGUAGGGUGCGAGCGUUGUCCGGAAUUAUUGGGCGUAAAGAGCUCGUAGGCGGUUUGUCGCGUCGACUGUGAAAACUGGGGGCUUAGCUCUCAGCUUGCAGUUGAUACGGGCAGACUUGAGUUCGGUAGGGGAGACUGGAAUUCCUGGUGUAGCGGUGAAAUGCGCAGAUAUCAGGAGGAACACCAAUGGCGAAGGCAGAUCUCUGGGCCGUAACUGACGCUGAGGAGCGAAAGCAUGGGGAGCGAACAGG
This 253-nucleotide ribosomal RNA is filed under the name uncultured bacterium. RNAcentral's name for it is "partial 16S ribosomal RNA". It matches the Rfam family "Bacterial small subunit ribosomal RNA", at positions 524 to 776 of the family's 1533-position model. The record is from RNAcentral.